This is a long non-coding RNA of Triticum aestivum (bread wheat), 2621 nucleotides long. RefSeq lists it as uncharacterized. NCBI's taxonomy places the organism in Eukaryota, Viridiplantae, Streptophyta, Magnoliopsida, Poales, Poaceae. The transcript is spliced from 8 exons. The record is from RefSeq and is a predicted model, not a curated record.
UCAAGUCGGGCAGGUCCCCAACCCCCCACCGCACAAACCCUAGCCUCCCAAGCCCGCAGCGCCGCCCUCCUCACUCCUCCUCCAUCUUUCCUCGUCGGCCGUCGCCGCCAUUCUGCUUCGCUCCUCUCUGUCCGAUGGCCACGCCAGUGGGAGGAAGCCGCCGCACAAGAGGACAGGAGACGCCCGUUGGCGAGCUUUCGGGCAGGAAGCCGACGGGGAGCACGCCAUCAACGAGCCCCCGGGGAGGAGCUAUCGGUUGGUCCUGGGUCGUCCACCAAAGGCCGCCGGUUGCGCCGUCGUGAGAGGAGCAGCAGGGGAGGAGAUGAGGAUAUGCCGCCGGCGCCGGACUCCCUCUUCCCUGGCUGCAUCUUCCCCGUGAGCUCCUUCUUCCAUUCCUCUCUUUGCCUCUCCUCCUGCUCCCUCUCCCUCAUGUGCUCCUCCUGUGUGAUUUCGAUUUGGUUGUGUGAUAGACUGAUUGUACUUCAUGGUGCUUGCACGUCCAAGGACAAUUUAUUCCAGUGCCCGGUUCAUUGUCCGUCUCAACCAAACCUCACAUGGUGGUGCGAAUUUAUGCUAGGAAUAAAUGUUCCAGGGUUGGAGAAGAGGGGGUUGAGCAGCAGCUGAGCUUAGGCAUGGAUUUACAGAUUCAAAAUUUUCUUAUACACUUGCUCGGCGCACACCAGCUAGGCAGGCCAGGGGAUGAAGGUACAAUGCAGUGAGUGCAGCAGCGGCAGUGGGGAAACCCCUCCUGGCCGAGCCUCAUCCCUAGCCUCUACCUGCAGAGGAGAACCCCAGGAAAGCUAAAAGUUUGUGGAGGAGCGCCGACACAGAGGGUAUUUCAGACUCAAGAUUGAUCUGGUAGUGCACGUGGUGUGGUGUGCCAUAAGCAAGAAUAUCUUAUCUGCGCCAUGACAAUAAGGGCUUGCUGCAGCCAGGCAGUUCUUGGGAGUAUGGUGCUUCGAUUUGGUUCCUGUGGUGAGCGUAUAUGGAGAGCCUAGAAGCAGCAGGGGUCCGCGGAGCAGCGGAUGCGGUCAAUGGAGUAGCAGGAUCAAGGAGCUCAAGAUGGUUCAGGAAGAGUGCCUACAGAGAUUACAUAACUGGAUAGAGGUGCCUUAUGAUAGUAUAGCUAAAGAACAACAUGUAUGAGUAGACUGCCACCUAUGUGUUUCAUUUUUAUUUGUUGUGAUAUUUCACACACCCCAUAUUGGCACCCCCUCUAUAUUCCCACUCUUAUAGACUUGCAGAAACACAUGCUGCUUGUCUCUAUUUAUCUUGGUCUUUACAUUAUAAAUUAAAACGUAGCUGGAAAGAAUUAUGGGUCCUUUUGGCAUGAAGCUCGAGAAUGAUAAUACCACCUCAAGUGGGGAUAAAGCAGAACAAGAAAUAGAUGAGAUGUAGUUACUAAAACUAGAAAAAAAUACUCUUCUGAUUAUGCAUAUGUAAAGUCAUGAUUAUGUGUGGACCAGAUGUGUGCUCUUUUCCAUUGCAUACGAGAUUGUCGGUUAAAAAAGUUUUUUGUCUUCCAGCAAUGAGCUUUCAUUUUCAUUGUGGAGGUUUGUUCGGUUCAUCUCCUCUGGUUAUUUUUUUCAAUUUGUCUCUUCAGAAGUUUGGGUGCCUCUGUUUUGCUAAUUUUUAGUUCUCAUCAUUAAGGUUUGUAUCUUUCCUCCCCUCUCGGAUUGUUGCAUCCUUAUUGUGUCUCAUCGUUAAGGUGGCACAUACAAGUAUUAAUUUGUUUAGUUCUGCUAAAGUACCGCUGAAAAUUCAAAUUCUAUAUACUUCACUUUUGGCUAUACAGGAGAAUACAGUACACACAUUUGAUUAGUGAUUAAAUGUGAAGAGCAUUGUGCAUGUUUUUCUGAAUGUGGAUUAAUCAAAUUUUAUUGCUUUAUGGUGAGAUGAAUAUGUUGAUUAUAAUGAUAUAAUGUUAAGAGAUUUUCAAGUGUAAGCUUGUAGCAAAUUAUCUUCUAAUCCAGACUCCAUAUCAUUAUUUAUAUUGUAACACAAAUGUGUUCUAUUAUACUCCCAGCCUUGGUACAUGAAGGCAUGAUAUUACCCCUCUCCCCCUGCCCCUUCUAUGUAUUUUUGAUUUGUUUGUGUGACUAUUGAAUGGUGCUUGCAGGUCCAUGGACAUUGCCAAAAUUUUCACUUUAUUGCAGUGUCGUAUUUUCAGAUCUCAUGUUCCUCAAGGCUUGCUCUCACUGCUGCUCUAGACAGGGAACGUUGAUGAUAACAUACAGGGCCUCUCAGUCUUUAACCCCGAUUAUAAAAAUCCAUUGAUGGAAGCCGGGGAGGGCCGAGAUGAACAUCCGGCUCCUGGGUCUAAGCCAUCGAGAUGAUAGAGACGACGUUUCCAUGCCAUCUACUCCAGCAGCCGGACAAGGCAUAUAAAAACCAUGGAUCCUUGCUCCCCAGGCCGCAAAUUGAUCGCAGUGAUGUCUACGACCUCCUCCUAGAUGUAUUAAUCUCAAUCUCAUGUUUGGUUUUCUUCCCUUUUCUCUUCUAAUGAUGUAAUUUCUUUUACUAAGAUAACACCAUGUUUGUUGUAAUGCCUUAUUUGAUGUAAGAUCCCUUUUCUACUUUGAAUGAAUUUACUGCAUAUAUUUCUUAUUUAGUUUAGUUCA